Molecule: ribosomal RNA, 279 nt
Filed under: uncultured bacterium
Lineage: Bacteria
Description: partial 16S ribosomal RNA
Rfam family: Bacterial small subunit ribosomal RNA
Source: RNAcentral
UGCCAGCCGCCGCGGUAAUACGGAGGGGGCUAGCGUUGUUCGGAAUUACUGGGCGUAAAGCGCACGUAGGCGGACUGGUCAGUCAGAGGCGAAAGCCCGAAGCUCAACUUCGGAACUGCCUUUGAUACUGCCAGUCUAGAGUCCGGAAGAGGUGAGUGGAAUUCCUAGUGUAGAGGUGAAAUUCGUAGAUAUUAGGAAGAACACCAGUGGCGAAGGCGGCUCACUGGUCCGGUACUGACGCUGAGGUGCGAAAGCGUGGGGAGCAAACAGGAUUAGAUA